This is a small nuclear RNA of Toxorhynchites rutilus septentrionalis, 148 nucleotides long. RefSeq annotates it as U4 spliceosomal RNA. Lineage: Eukaryota; Metazoa; Arthropoda; Insecta; Diptera; Culicidae. The record is from RefSeq and is a predicted model, not a curated record. The transcript has a single exon.
AGCUUUGCGCAGUGGCGAUAUCAUAACCAAUGAGGUUUACCCGAAGUGCGAUUAUUGUUAGUUGAACCAAAAAAAAACCGAAAUGAAUCAAAUGACACUGAGACAAAAGCGCCAUUUCUUUUGACGAUCUAUUUGGCCACUAGUUAGA